Molecule: transfer RNA, 75 nt
Filed under: Candidatus Harrisonbacteria bacterium RIFCSPLOWO2_01_FULL_40_28
Lineage: Bacteria; Candidatus Harrisoniibacteriota
Description: tRNA-Ala
Rfam family: tRNA
About the family: Transfer RNA (tRNA) molecules are approximately 80 nucleotides in length.
Source: RNAcentral
GGGCCAGUAGUUCAGUGGUAGAACGCUACUUUUGCAAAGUAGAGGUCAGGGGUCCGAUUCCCCUCUGGUCCACAA